Molecule: ribosomal RNA, 811 nt
Filed under: Octospora affinis
Lineage: Eukaryota; Fungi; Ascomycota; Pezizomycetes; Pezizales; Pyronemataceae
Description: SSU rRNA
Rfam family: Eukaryotic small subunit ribosomal RNA
Source: RNAcentral
CUGCGAACGGCUCAUUAAAUCAGUUAUCGUUUAUUUGAUGGUACCUUACUACUUGGAUAACCGUGGUAAUUCUAGAGCUAAUACAUGCUAAAAGUCCCGACCUCCGGAAGGGACGUAUUUAUUAGAUAAAAAACCAAUGCCUUCGGGCUUCUUGGUGAUUCAUGAUAACUUUACGAAUCGCAUGGCCUUGUGCCGGCGAUGGUUCAUUCAAAUUUCUGCCCUAUCAACUUUCGAUGGUAGGAUAGUGGCCUACCAUGGUUUCAACGGGUAACGGGGAAUUAGGGUUCGAUUCCGGAGAGGGAGCCUGAGAAACGGCUACCACAUCCAAGGAAGGCAGCAGGCGCGCAAAUUACCCAAUCCCGACACGGGGAGGUAGUGACAAUAAAUACUGAUACAGGGCCCAUUUGGGUCUUGUAAUUGGAAUGAGUACAAUUUAAAGCCUUUAACGAGGAACAAUUGGAGGGCAAGUCUGGUGCCAGCAGCCGCGGUAAUUCCAGCUCCAAUAGCGUAUAUUAAAGUUGUUGCAGUUAAAAAGCUCGUAGUUGAACCUUGGGUCUGGGUGACCGGUCUGCCUAAACGCAUGUACUGGAAGCCCGGAUCUUUCCUUCUGGAGAACCGCAUGCCCUUUACUGGGUGUGUUUGGGGAACCAGGACUUUUACUUUGAAAAAAUUAGAGUGUUCAAAGCAGGCAUUUGCUCGGAAUACAUUAGCAUGGAAUAAUAGAAUAGGACGUGCGGUCCUAUUUUGUUGGUUUCUAGGACCGCCGUAAUGAUUAAUAGGGAUAGUCGGGGGCAUCCGUAUUCGAUUGUCA